Molecule: ribosomal RNA, 494 nt
Filed under: uncultured bacterium
Lineage: Bacteria
Description: partial 16S ribosomal RNA
Rfam family: Bacterial small subunit ribosomal RNA
Source: RNAcentral
GACGAACGCUGGCGGCGUGCUUAACACAUGCAAGUCGAACGGAAAGGCCUGCUUUCCCUUGUGGAUUGCGGGUACUCGAGUGGCGAACGGGUGAGUAACACGUGAGUGAUCUGCCCCCAACUUGGGUAUAAGCCUGGGAAACUGGGUCUAAUUCCCGAUAGGACUGCAGGGUGGUGCCUGUGGUGGAAAACGAUUUUCUAGUGGUUGGGGAUGAGCUCGCGGCCUAUCAGCUUGUUGGUGGGGGAAUGGCCUACCAAGGCGGCGACGGGUAGCCGGCCUGAGAGGGUGGACGGCCUCAUUGGGACUGAGAUACGGCCCAGACUCCUACGGGAGGCAGCAGUGGGGAAUAUUGCACAAUGGGCGGAAGCCUGAUGCAGCGACGCCGCGUGGGGGAUGACGGCCUUCGGGUUGUAAACUCCUUUCGACCGCGAGGAAGCCACCUGGUUGGAAGGGUGGUGACGGUAGUGGUAGAAGAAGCACCGGCUAACUACGUG